AUCACUUCUCAGCCUUUUGGCUAAGAUCAAGUGUAAAAAGUCAACAGCACUUUUACUUCGUAUAUAAAAUUAGCAAAAGCAUGUUUUUCCUGGAAAGCUUUUCCAGUAUUCUGACUUCUAAAAAGUAUAUAUUUUU
Molecule: small nuclear RNA, 136 nt
Organism: Bos taurus (domestic cattle)
Lineage: Eukaryota; Metazoa; Chordata; Mammalia; Artiodactyla; Bovidae
Gene: U2
Rfam family: U2 spliceosomal RNA
About the family: U2 is a small nuclear RNA (snRNA) component of the spliceosome (involved in pre-mRNA splicing). Complementary binding between U2 snRNA (in an area lying towards the 5' end but 3' to hairpin I) and the branchpoint sequence (BPS) of the intron results the bulging out of an unpaired adenosine, on the BPS, which initiates a nucleophilic attack at the intronic 5' splice site, thus starting the first of two transesterification reactions that mediate splicing.
Source: Ensembl